UGAACAUCGUGUCUAGGUCAAGGGAG
This 26-nucleotide non-coding RNA is filed under the name Homo sapiens (human). Lineage: Eukaryota; Metazoa; Chordata; Mammalia; Primates; Hominidae. The record is from RNAcentral.